Molecule: unclassified non-coding RNA, 240 nt
Filed under: soil metagenome
Description: partial contains 5.8S ribosomal RNA, internal transcribed spacer 2, and large subunit ribosomal RNA
Source: RNAcentral
AACCAUAGAAACCUGCGGAGUACCUGCGGAAGGAUCAUUACCGAGUCACGUGCUCAAUAACCCUUCUGUGGACCUGAAAUAAAACCGUUGCCUCGGCGGGCGGUCCCCCCAACCAAACCCCACGUGGUGGGUUAGGGGACCAGACAGUCCGGCACGCUUAAGGCGUCCGGCGCCAGCCGCUGGCCCCAAACAAUUAAACUCCUAGUAACCUUUACCUUCUGAGUUUCAAUAUUUUAAAAA